AGCGAACGCUGGCGGCAGGCCUAACACAUGCAAGUCGAACGAACUCUUCGGAGUUAGUGGCGGACGGGUGAGUAACACGUGGGAACGUGCCUUUUGGUUCGGAAUAACUCAGGGAGACUUGUGCUAAUACCGAAUGUGCCCUUCGGGGGAAAGAUUUAUCGCCAUUAGAGCGGCCCGCGUCUGAUUAGCUUGUUGGUGAGGUAACGGCUCACCAAGGCGACGAUCAGUAGCUGGUCUGAGAGGAUGACCAGCCACACUGGGACUGAGACACGGCCCAGACUCCUACGGGAGGCAGCAGUGGGGAAUCUUGCGCAAUGGGCGAAAGCCUGACGCAGCCAUGCCGCGUGAAUGAUGAAGGUCUUAGGAUUGUAAAAUUCUUUCACCGGGGACGAUAAUGACGGUACCCGGAGAAGAAGCCCCGGCUAACUUCGUG
Molecule: ribosomal RNA, 433 nt
Filed under: uncultured bacterium
Lineage: Bacteria
Description: partial 16S ribosomal RNA
Rfam family: Bacterial small subunit ribosomal RNA
Source: RNAcentral